RNAcentral lists this long non-coding RNA (317 nucleotides) under Elaeis guineensis (African oil palm). RNAcentral's name for it is "long non-coding RNA (EGUI_LNC032475)". Lineage: Eukaryota; Viridiplantae; Streptophyta; Magnoliopsida; Arecales; Arecaceae. The record is from RNAcentral.
AUGGCUAGGAUUUGUGAUGUGAGAGGUUGAGGAGAGAAGCAGAGCAGCGUCACAGGAAGAAAAGGAUAAGUUUGAUUUUUUUUGAUGAGAGAUAAUUUUAUUUGAAAAUUUAUUAUCAAAUAAUCAAAAAAUGAUAAUUUGAAUAACCAUCUCCUUUCAAAACUAUCUAGAUUGCCUGCAAUGUGAAUUGUCAAGACAAUCUAAAUUAUCUAGAUAAUUUAGAUUGUCAUCUAAAAAAUAUAUUAAAUAUAAUAAUUUAAUAAAUUUAUUUUAAAUUACUAAUAAUUUUGAUAGAUUGUCGGCUAUCAAAUGUAACC